This 602-nucleotide ribosomal RNA is filed under the name Hybrizon ghilarovi. Its description in RNAcentral is "eukaryotic LSU rRNA". It matches the Rfam family "Eukaryotic large subunit ribosomal RNA", at positions 420 to 769 of the family's 3401-position model. Lineage: Eukaryota; Metazoa; Arthropoda; Insecta; Hymenoptera; Ichneumonidae. The record is from RNAcentral.
CCUGAGAAACCCGAAAGUUCGAAAGGGGAGAUUCAUCGUCAACGACCGCUGGCUUUUGUACGUUUCGCGAUGUCGCGGCGAGUGGCUCCGGCCUCGCGCCCGCGGUACGCGUCCGUAUGUUUUUUAGACCCGGUUCGUCGGCGUGCACUUCUCCUCUAGUAGGACGUCUUUACCCGUUGGGUGUCGGUAAACGGCACGAGCGGUUGCCUGUCGCGCGUCGCGUUACUUCUGCGGCGUUUGUCGCGCGACAGACCCUCGUUGCCCGGCCGGCUCUCGGCGGUAUUCGUACGAUAUCGAGUCGCCAGCUUUUCGCAUUUAUGCGUUGGUUGCGUCCCCGACCCGUCGCACGGUCGGCCACGCGUCUUGGGCUACGGACAUUGCGCCGUGCCCCGGCCUGGUCGAUCGCUUAGCGACGGUGUUCUCGGACCGGCUCAUUUAUCGGUCAGCGACGCUAUUGCUUCGGGUACUUUCAGGACCCGUCUUGAAACACGGACCAAGGAGUCUAACAUGUGCGCGAGUCAUUGGGAGUUGAAACCCAAAGGCGAAAUGAAAGUAAAAGUCGGCAUUGCGCCGACCGAGGGAAGAUGGGCCGCGCUAGACGC